GGGAGAGCGCUGGUGCUGGGCAGCUGAUAGGAUCAAGUCCAUCUGUGCCUGAUGCUUUCUGCUUGCAUGUGGCAGGUAGAUCUUCAAGUAAACAUAUCUACAGGAUGAUGCAGGAACUGACAGGGACUGAUAUGGGAAUAUCUGCAUUGAGAGCCAAGUGGCAGAAGAUUGUGACAAAUUCUUCAGUUUGGUCUCUGUAGUUUCUUAAAAAGAAAGUGGAUGAUCUCUCACCGAUGUCUCGGAGUAAGGAGAGGAUUCUGGAGCUGCCAUAUCAUAAUACGGAGUCUGGAGCGGUGUCUUCUGUAACUCCUCCUCCUCCUCCUUCGCACUGUCCAGGUGGACCACCUGAGCACAAGCAGAUCCCGAUCAAGAGAGAACAAACCAUAUAAAAGCGAAAUGGUGAAUACAGAAAUGUGUCUCUGUGUGGCGUUGGGGGUCAGAGCAGACACCAGGAAGAGCUGACUCAGGGAGCCGUUUGAUGAUUUGCUCCAGUUCCUUCAUUGGAAUCAGUUUCCUGACAGAACAAAAGCAUUUCCUCUCUGUGUCUGGAAAGAUCGCCCAUUUCCUGAAGGCUAUCAUAUGCAGGAGGGAAACGGAUAAGGAGUGGCUGCAGUCUCUGGUCUGGUUCAGAAGUUUCUUCAAGAUCAGAAAUCCUCAAUUCCGAACUUCCAGGAAUGAGGGUAACGAUACUCACAGGUCAUUGUCUGUGUCCGUGCGGUUCUUCUGUUGCCGGCGGUAGA
Molecule: long non-coding RNA, 740 nt
Organism: Callorhinchus milii (elephant shark)
Lineage: Eukaryota; Metazoa; Chordata; Chondrichthyes; Chimaeriformes; Callorhinchidae
Exons: 5
Source: RefSeq, a predicted model, not a curated record